CCUACGGGGGGCGGCAGUGGGGAAUAUUGCACAAUGGAGGAAACUCUGAUGCAGCAACGCCGCGUGGAGGAUGACGCAUUUCGGUGUGUAAACUCCUUUUAUAGGGGAAGAUAAUGACGGUACCCUAUGAAUAAGCACCGGCUAACUCCGUGCCAGCAGCCGCGGUAAUACGGAGGGUGCAAGCGUUACUCGGAAUCACUGGGCGUAAAGGAUGCGUAGGCUGGAAAUCAAGUCGAAAGUGAAAUCCAACGGCUCAACCGUUGAACUGCUUUCGAAACUGAUUACCUAGAAUAUGGGAGAGGUAGAUGGAAUUAGUGGUGUAGGGGUAAAAUCCGUAGAUAUCACUAGGAAUACCGAUUGCGAAGGCGAUCUACUGGAACAUUAUUGACGCUGAGGCAUGAAAGCGUGGGGAGCAAACAGGAUUAGAUACCCUGGUAGUCCACGCCCUAAACGAUGCACACUAGUUGUUGCGAUGCUAGUCAUUGCAGUAAUGCACUUAACAGAUUAAGUGUGCCGCCUGGGGAGUACGGUCGCAAGAUUAAAACUCAAAGGAAUAGACGGGGACCCGCACAAGCGGUGGAGCAUGUGGUUUAAUUCGAAGAUACACGAAGAACCUUACCUGGCCUUGAUAUCCUAAGAAUCCUGUAGAGAUACGGGAGUGCUAGUUUACUAGAACUUAGAGACAGGUGCUGCACGGCUGUCGUCAGCUCGUGUCGUGAGAUGUUGGGUUAAGUCCCGCANCGAGCGCAACCCUCGUGAUUAGUUGCUAACAGUUCGGCUGAGCACUCUAAUCAGACUGCCUUCGUAAGGAGGAGGAAGGUGAGGACGACGUCAAGUCAUCAUGGCCCUUAUGGCCAGGGCUACACACGUGCUACAAUGGCUAGGACAAAGAGACGCGAUACCGCGAGGUGGAGCAAAUCUUAAAACCUAGUCUCAGUUCGGAUUGGAGUCUGCAACUCGACUCCAUGAAGCUGGAAUCGCUAGUAAUCGUAGAUCAGAUAUGCUACGGUGAAUACGUUCCCGGGUCUUGUACUCACCGCCCGUCACACCAUGGGAGUUGAAUUCACCCGAAGCCGGAAUACUAAACUAGUUACCGUCCACGGUGGGUUCAGCGACUGGGGUGAAGUCGUAACAAGGUAACC
This 1142-nucleotide ribosomal RNA is filed under the name uncultured Campylobacterota bacterium. Its description in RNAcentral is "bacterial SSU rRNA". It matches the Rfam family "Bacterial small subunit ribosomal RNA", at positions 338 to 1501 of the family's 1533-position model. Lineage: Bacteria; Pseudomonadati; Campylobacterota. The record is from RNAcentral.